Molecule: ribosomal RNA, 351 nt
Filed under: uncultured marine eukaryote
Lineage: Eukaryota
Description: bacterial SSU rRNA
Rfam family: Eukaryotic small subunit ribosomal RNA
Source: RNAcentral
UUGCAGUUAAAAAGCUCGUAGUUGGAUUUCUGCGGGGGCGGGGCGGCCGACCUCAACUCGAGGUUCGAGCUAGCACUUCCCCUGCAUCCUGCCGCGAACCGUGCUACCAUUAGUUUGGUGGCGCUGGGGAUCGGCUCGUUUACUUUGAGAAAAAUAGAGUGUUCAAAGCAGGCCACACGCCUUGAAUAAGUUAGCAUGGAAUAAUGAUAAAGGACUUCGGUUCUAUUUUGUUGGUGUUCGGGACUGAAGUAAUGAUUGAUAGGGACAGUUGGGGCGGUCAGUAUUCCAAAGCGAGAGGUGAAAUUCUUAGACCUUCGGAAGACUAACAGCUGCGAAAGCGUUCCGCAAGGA